UGGAGAGUUUGAUCCUGGCUCAGGAUGAACGCUGGCGGCGUGCUUAACACAUGCAAGUCGAACGGUGAACACGGAGCUUGCUCUGUGGGAUCAGUGGCGAACGGGUGAGUAACACGUGAGCAACCUGCCCCUGACUCUGGGAUAAGCGCUGGAAACGGCGUCUAAUACUGGAUAUGUGACGUGACCGCAUGGUCUGCGUCUGGAAAGAAUUUCGGUUGGGGAUGGGCUCGCGGCCUAUCAGCUUGUUGGUGAGGUAAUGGCUCACCAAGGCGUCGACGGGUAGCCGGCCUGAGAGGGUGACCGGCCACACUGGGACUGAGACACGGCCCAGACUCCUACGGGAGGCAGCAGUGGGGAAUAUUGCACAAUGGGCGCAAGCCUGAUGCAGCAACGCCGCGUGAGGGACGACGGCCUUCGGGUUGUAAACCUCUUUUAGCAGGGAAGAAGCGAAAGUGACGGUACCUGCAGAAAAAGCGCCGGCUAACUACGUGCCAGCAGCCGCGG
This 504-nucleotide ribosomal RNA is filed under the name Microbacterium sp. IP10. Its description in RNAcentral is "bacterial SSU rRNA". It matches the Rfam family "Bacterial small subunit ribosomal RNA", at positions 1 to 520 of the family's 1533-position model. The record is from RNAcentral. Lineage: Bacteria; Bacillati; Actinomycetota; Actinomycetes; Micrococcales; Microbacteriaceae. RNAcentral also lists the same sequence under 11 other names.